This 891-nucleotide long non-coding RNA is filed under the name Mytilus galloprovincialis (Mediterranean mussel). Lineage: Eukaryota; Metazoa; Mollusca; Bivalvia; Mytilida; Mytilidae. The record is from RNAcentral.
AUAUAGAAUAAUACACAGAAUAUUGGGCACAAAUAAAUUUUUAUUUAAGAUAAAAUAAAACAAAGCGAUAAAUGUACUUUCUGCAGUGAAGUUACUGAAGAUAUUGAACACAUAUUUUGGACAUGCCAUAAAAUAGCAGAUCUGUGGAUAAGACUCAUGGACUGGAUUUAUAACCAAACACAAAUAAUUAUUCCAUUUAACAUGGAUAUAAUUUUAUUCGGAAAUUUAGGAAAAACAGAAAAUAAUAAAAUAAAAAACUUAAUAAUACUUUUAUCAAAAUUCUUUAUCUAUAGAACAAAACUGUGUGAAAAUCAAGUAAAUUUUGCAGGGCUGAAAAACUAUCUAAAAGAAAAUCUAAUAAUAGAAAAGAAUAUAUUUUUUAAAACAAAGCCUCUUCACAUUGCCAACCUCUACUGGGACCCCUGGCUUCCAUUAUUAGAAUAAUUUACACUUAAGCAACUUAAUUAGCAUUACCCUAUGUAAUGUUAUUGUGCAUUUUAUUUUAGCCUUUUCACACAACAUAUAUGUUUUUUAUUAUAAUAUACUGUUAUAUGUUGUUUAUUGUUUAUUGUCUUUUGUUCUUGUUUUGUGCCUAAAAUGCAUAUACAUUCUCUAAUAUCUAUUUUGUGUUUGUAUGAAUUAUUUACAAUGGAAAACCAACUUUGCCAAAUCUAUUUAAUGUUGUAUCUUAAGAAAAAAAUACUGCUGCCAAAUUCCAAAUUUCAAGGACUUUCUAUUUUUUAUUUUUAUUUUUUUUUUCUCUAGUUUUUAUUUUUUGUUUUUUUUUUGUAUUUGUGUUUUAAUUAUUUAUUAUUUUCUCUUCUCUUCUCACAUUCUCUCUUAAAUAAAAUUCUCACUUUAUUGAUCAAUAUUGAAAUAAUUGAUACACAA